AUGAGGUGCGUUUCUUCGGUUUCUUUCUCCGUUCUGUUUAACGGUGGUAGUUUGGAAGGUUUCAGGCCUACACGUGGACUUCGGCAGGGGGAUCCGAUAUCGCCUUAUCUUUUCCUGAUAGCUGCGGAGGGCUUAUCGUGCCUUUUGAAGUCUAAUAUUGGGGUUCAGGGUAUAGCAGUGGCGCCUGAAGCCCCUCUGGUUAAUCACCUUCUUUUCGCUGAUGACAGUCUACUCUUUUUUGAGGCAAACGAUGAGGCUGCCACAAGGGUUAAUGGUCUGUUGAGAGUAUACUGUGAUGCUUCGGGGCAGAGAAUCAAUGUGGAAAAUUCGUCAAUCUAUUUUAGCAAGGGGGUCGCGGAUUCAGCAAGAGGAUCAAUCAUGAAUAUACUUGAUGUACACAAUGAGUCGUUAACUGAGAAGUAUUUGGAUUUGCCAUCAGAUGUGGGCAGAGCAAAGGAAGGCUCUUUUAAAUAUCUGAAGGACCGAAUCUGGAAACAUGUU
Molecule: ribosomal RNA, 501 nt
Filed under: Triticum aestivum (bread wheat)
Lineage: Eukaryota; Viridiplantae; Streptophyta; Magnoliopsida; Poales; Poaceae
Description: partial small subunit ribosomal RNA
Source: RNAcentral